Molecule: long non-coding RNA, 1354 nt
Filed under: Linum usitatissimum (flax)
Lineage: Eukaryota; Viridiplantae; Streptophyta; Magnoliopsida; Malpighiales; Linaceae
Description: long non-coding RNA (LUSI_LNC005083)
Source: RNAcentral
GAACUCAAGGAGAAUGAGAGAGCAAGGAAGGAACUAGCUCGUACUAGUCUAGAUGUACAAUUGUACCAGGAGUAUAAGCUGCAGAAGAAGAAGAAGAAGAAAGUAAGAAAGGCAUGCAGUUGAACUUUGAGAUAGCAACACGAGUAGGUUGGUUGGUUUUUUGUCGGUUGGAGGAUCGUUGGAAGUUAUUUACUUGAAUUUUUUGGACAUGUCGAAUUGAGUUUUGAGGUGUUAUGUGAGGGAUUCGAAUGCACUAAGUCGCAAAGUAUCUAGUUUGGUACAAGCCAAGCACAUUUAUAGGCUUGUUGAGCCGAUACUAAAAACGGACGGUUUGAUCUUUAGAAACAGAGAGUAUGCAGGCAUUAUAAAUGUGUCUUAGACGAGGCUCUAUUCUAUGUUCUUAGAGAGGAUGCCGGUAAUUAUGAGCCUUUCGAGUGUUUCGUGACUAAAGCCUUCUGGCCGCCUCCCUACAACUUUCUACUCUGGUCCCAAACACGUUUAACACUCGAUACUUCGACGUGCCUCUGGACCGGAGUUGACCUUGCAAGCUGACACUUUUUAAAGAUCAUUCUACUCGAUGGCCGAAUUAAGGGUGGGCAAAUCUAAACUACCAUCAAGAAUCUCAUCGUUCCAAAAAUGAUAAAAUUAUGAUAACGAAAUCAAAAUGGCCGGAGACUUUAUGAUACAAUUUGAAGUUUGAGUUGACUUAAAAAACGCACCUGGAAAAAUCUUAAAAAUAUAUUAGGCAAAAAUUGUACUUACCAUUUUAAAUAAGAUUUUGAAAAAUUUGUACUUCUUGAUGCUUAUCUUUGUUAUUGGAUGGAGUUGGGUAAGUACGAAAUUGGGCUGGAAAUUAAUCAGUGGUUAGCCAUUAUAACAACUAAUUAACCGCAUCGAAUUAUAAAAAUUUUCGGAUGUAAACUACAGGGUAGGGGAUGAGCUAAGGGGUCUUUAGCUAAGGGGAUGUAAACUACAGAAUCGAUAUGUUUAACCGCAAUUAACCUCCUAGACCUAAGGACCUCAAUCUCCAACAUUCCAACUCAUCUGGUCUAUAUACAUAGAGUUAUUGUUGCAAGGGAGUUUGAAGGGUAAAUCCAACGUCAGCAAGGGUAAUAAACUCAGCACAUUCACCAGCAAAAUUUUUGGUAAAUUUUUAAUUUUAUUUGGUUAUUAUUUAUAGGAAUUACCUUAAUAAAAUUUUAUUUUUAGUCAUUUUUAACACAUUCGAUAAAAAAAUAGUUAAUUUGAAAAUUUUCGAUUUUCAUGUCAAAAUUGUCAAUUUCCAUGGGUUAUAACAGACGAAAAUGAACAAUUUUCACAUGAAAAUUGAAAUUUUAAAAUUGUCUAAUAUUUC